This 301-nucleotide ribosomal RNA is filed under the name uncultured bacterium. Its description in RNAcentral is "partial 16S ribosomal RNA". It matches the Rfam family "Bacterial small subunit ribosomal RNA", at positions 509 to 808 of the family's 1533-position model. The record is from RNAcentral.
CAGUAGCCACGGGAACACGGAGGGUGCAAGCGUUAAUCGGAAUUACUGGGCGUAAAGCGCACGCAGGCGGUCUGUCAAGUCAGAUGUGAAAUCCCCGGGCUUAACCUGGGAACUGCAUUUGAAACUGGCAGGCUAGAGUCUUGUAGAGGGGGGUAGAAUUCCAGGUGUAGCGGUGAAAUGCGUAGAGAUCUGGAGGAAUACCGGUGGCGAAGGCGGCCCCUGGACAAAGACUGACGCUCAGGUGCGAAAGCGUGGGGAGCAAACAGGAUUAGAUACCCGCGUAGUCCCUGUCUCUUAUACA